RNAcentral lists this ribosomal RNA (314 nucleotides) under uncultured soil bacterium. Its description in RNAcentral is "bacterial SSU rRNA". It matches the Rfam family "Bacterial small subunit ribosomal RNA", at positions 26 to 337 of the family's 1533-position model. The record is from RNAcentral.
AGAGUGAACGCUGGCGGCAGGCCUAACACAUGCAAGUCGAACGGCAGCACAGAGGAGCUUGCUCCUUGGGUGGCGAGUGGCGGACGGGUGAGGAAUACAUCGGAAUCUGCCUUAUCGUGGGGGAUAACGUAGGGAAACUUACGCUAAUACCGCAUACGACCUACGGGUGAAAGCGGAGGACCUUCGGGCUUCGCGCGAUAAGAUGAGCCGAUGUCGGAUUAGCUAGUUGGCGGGUAAAGGCCCACCAAGGCUACGAUCCGUAGCUGGUCUGAGAGGAUGAUCAGCCACACUGGAACUGAGACACGGUCCAGACU